Non-coding RNA from Peromyscus maniculatus bairdii (prairie deer mouse), 1719 nucleotides. Lineage: Eukaryota; Metazoa; Chordata; Mammalia; Rodentia; Cricetidae. The record is from RefSeq and is a predicted model, not a curated record.
CCAACCGUGAGGCCAGGCACCCUCCUCCCCCCCCCGGUUCAAGUUUCUGCGCCCGGAGGACGCGGCCUGGGCCAAUCCCAGGACUACAAGGCGGUUUUAAAAUGCAGGUAGGGCUGGGGGGUGGCGGGGACCGGUGGGAAAGGUAGGGUAGGGCUUCCCUUAAAGGCGACGCGCGGAAAUGCGCGUCCCCCUAUCGGGCCCGCGUCGCUGACCCUCCCUUUCUCAUUCUUAAUAAACAAAUGCCCACCGGGUGGGCGCAGUUCCCUUCCUCCCUCCUGGGAGCACCAGAGUUCGGUACAGUCCGUGAGAGGAGGAACAAUAGGACCCUGACGUGGGGGGUCGGGCAGAGCUGCUCUUUGUCCCUUUCCGGGCCACCGACCUCCUCCGCCCCAGUUCCUGGGUCCCCUGCCUACACUCGCAGCGGGGCUGCCUUUCCACUCCUAGCUCAGGACUGUAGAGCCUUGCCAGCCUUAUCUCAGGGACAGACAGAUCUCUCCCCUCUUCCCCCUGGCCUGAUGGGGCGAGGGGGCCUGGGACCUGCCCAUUUCCUGGAGCGGCUCUCGGAGCCCUGCCCCUUCGCACACGCAACCGCUAAAUCCCUGGGAUUGGAGGAAUAUCUUUGGUUCGCUAGGUGGAAACCCCUGGGAAACGCGAGGGAAGGUCUUCCACCCCGGCCAUAAAGCUGGGGUCCAGAGGCGCACAGCAACGGGAGAACCUUCCCCCGCCCCGCAUCAUUGCGGGGCAUUCAGAUCUUCCUACAGCCUCUAAGUCCGGUCCCCAAAGCGCAUUUACGGCGCUUCUGCAGUCGGCAGGCUGAGGGAAGGGUGCGUUUUCCCUGGACCCGCAAGGAGAUAACCCACCCCAGGCGCACGCACACCGGGGUAAGCUACCCAGGGCCUGGAGCGCGUGCCCGCGCAGUCGCUGACGUCCCCUUUUACAGUUACUCAGCCGUUUGCUGAACCACUGCGUGUGCCCUCUCACACCUUCCUCAGCGCGGGGCAGUUCUACCCGGACAUGACCACAGAGGUGGUGCCACGGCCCUCUGAGGGUGCUUGGCAUUCUUGGGAGGAGGGAGAGUAUAACGUGAGAAGACACCGUGAGGCCGUCUGCAGCGCUAUGCAGGGAAAUCAGUUGCCUUAGAUCUUGUUUUCUGGGAGGGACUAGGACGUAGGAGCUUGGAUCCGAGCCUGAGCAACAAGGACAAAGGGUGACAGCUUCGGUGGAAGAAAAUGAAACCUUUAUCCAAGCAGUGGUUCAAACCAUCUCUACACACCACUGGCUGGGCAGCUUUUCUCCAGGACCAUAACAUCCUCCUGGGAGAGCUCGGGGGAGGGGGUAGCAUUGGUGCUGCUGGGUGGUUUAAGAGUGGUUCCCUGCUUCCUCCCCCCCCCCAGUCCCCCCCUCCCCACCCCUUGCUUCACAUGCUUGCUGAGAAGAGGAUCCCAGGACCGAACUAGCAUCCCAGAGCAAGAGCUCUCCAGGACAAAUGUGCUGUGUCCCCCGGGAACACUCAGAGUCCAGUAUAGCCACAUAGCAAGUCUGAGGCCACCGGGAGUGGGGGGGGGGGGGCAGUGAGAUCCUGUCUGAAAAAAAGCAGUCCCCCACACACUGCUAGUUCAAGGGGCUCGUAUUCCUCUCCUUGCCUGCAAGCCUAAGCUCAGACAUGCUUUGGCAGCCCUAGGUGUUUGCUAAGUGAAUGAUUGACCCUUCCAUGCAUGA